RNAcentral lists this transfer RNA (75 nucleotides) under Mus musculus (house mouse). It matches the Rfam family "tRNA". From Rfam's summary of the family: Transfer RNA (tRNA) molecules are approximately 80 nucleotides in length. Their secondary structure includes four short double-helical elements and three loops (D, anti-codon, and T loops). The record is from Rfam by way of RNAcentral. Lineage: Eukaryota; Metazoa; Chordata; Mammalia; Rodentia; Muridae. RNAcentral also lists the same sequence under 1 other name.
GUGGAGAUGGCUCAGUGGUUAAGAGCAUGAGUUUUUAACUUCCAGAGGUCAUGAGUUCAAUUCCCAGUAACCACA